This 1001-nucleotide long non-coding RNA is filed under the name Lepisosteus oculatus (spotted gar). RNAcentral's name for it is "lncRNA (ENSLOCG00000022054.1)". Lineage: Eukaryota; Metazoa; Chordata; Actinopteri; Semionotiformes; Lepisosteidae. The record is from RNAcentral.
UUCAGUGAUCAUUUUGUCCCUGUCUCCUCAGAAGUAUAAACAUAUCUCAGAGGCACUGUGAGAUCCUGUCUGUGGUUCCUGUUAGAAGCUGUACGUUUUCUGCCGCUUUGGGUCUGACACUGACCUUGGCUGAGGGUCUCUUAUCAGAAAAAGAGGAUCGGAGAUCUCUGGCUCCUUGUGGUGUUUAUUAGCCCAGUGAAAGUACAUCGAGAGGUCGAGGAAUUCCCCCCCCAGGGUGGAGUCAUGAUCAGCUUAUAAGAUCUGGCGCUCGAUCCGAAAGAGAAAGAGAAAGCUGAUACGGAGAGCAGCACUCAAAGCCAAGGGAGAAGUCAAGAGAGAUCAUGGCGGUGUGCACUCAGAAACAGAUACACAUUUCCUCAUUCCAGCCCGCUGGGAGCCUGCAGGCAACACUCCCUCUGGCAGAGCAGACCAGCUGUCAAUAUGACAGCGACCUCUGGCCCAGUGUGGUUCACACCACCAUGACCCUGAACCUGGCAGAGAGGGACCAGCAGGAGCCACUAGGGGGCACUGUGACGGCAGAGGUCAUCGUCGGGAACAGUGGGAAGAGCCGGGAGCUGGAGCUGCUGCGCUCCGACACUGUGGGCCGGCUGCUGGAGAAGCUGCGGGCGGAGCUGCCGGAUCUGGGUCCCGAUGUGUCGCUGGCCCUGCGGGGGAAGCCUGUCAGACCGGAGCAGUGCCUGGGGCAGCUGGGAAACUGCAGCAAACUCAAGUUCAUCACCUUCCACCGCUGCCAAGGGGGCUAGAGAGAGAGAGACGAGGAGCGGGACGGCCCAGGAGGGAAGGAAUGAAGGAAUCCCUUUCGUCUUCAGCAAGCAGCUCACUGGCGCAUGUCAUAUCAAUCACACAGCUCUGCUUCCGCUGAUUCCGAUUGAUCUGCUGAAUUAACCACACUGAAUUGUUUCUUCUUUAUCCUUCUAUGCACUCUAGGAGGCUGUGUGUAUCAGAUCCUGCAAUAAAAACGCUUCUUCUCUGACCAGAAC